UUAUCCUCAAAUAUAUCUCAACAAAAUAAUCUACAACAUACAAGCAUUAUUUCAGCUUUAGAUAUACAUGUACAGAUGUAAUAAGCAAUACACAUUCCCCAAUGAAAUGAACCUCUUACAAAUGUCAAUAUUGAUGUGUGUCUCAUAAGGUUGCCUAUAAAGCUUGAAACUGUCUUUGAUCUUAAUUAGCCGAUUCCGCAAUUAUUAAGCAAAUUUUAUGAAACUCAGAAAAUCUGACAUGAUCUAUUUCGUUUUUCUCAAUAGGAAGCUAUCUAGCAAGAGAAAUUAUCAAUUCUCAAAGCGUGAAGAGAAUAAGACCUGAAAACUAUGAAAAAGAAAAAAAAAACAGAUAAUAAGUACUGGUACUGAGAAAGCAGACAAACAUGAAAAAGACCGAUGAUGGACAGAAGGGAUUUAAAAUUCCAGAGUAGAUUUUACAGAGUACACAUAUCAACCUACAUAAAUGCAGGCAUUUCAUGUCAAAACAAACAAUAAAAAUGAUUUCAUUUAC
Magallana angulata is the source of this 511-nucleotide long non-coding RNA. RefSeq lists it as uncharacterized. The transcript has 2 exons. The record is from RefSeq and is a predicted model, not a curated record. NCBI's taxonomy places the organism in Eukaryota, Metazoa, Mollusca, Bivalvia, Ostreida, Ostreidae.